Molecule: long non-coding RNA, 282 nt
Organism: Schistocerca piceifrons (Central American locust)
Lineage: Eukaryota; Metazoa; Arthropoda; Insecta; Orthoptera; Acrididae
Exons: 3
Source: RefSeq, a predicted model, not a curated record
CGCUAACAUAGAAGACAACGAUAGUAAAACGUAGGUAUAAGUUUUGAGCAAAAAAUUAGAAGUCGUUUUUCAUUCAACAGUCUAUCUUGUCGACACUGGUUCGUCUGUGGCCAGAGCGAAGCAGCAGGCAGACGCCACAGCCGGACGAGGACGGAGGGCGUCGCCCGCAGGAGCCGUAGGACGUAGCGUCUCGGCGUAGUGUCGGCCGAGCGGAGCAUGGAGACGGAGGCGGGGGCGGCGGCCGCCGGCAGCUCGGCCGCCGCGGCCGGCAGCUCGGGCACG